UGCAGUCGAACGCAGUAGCAAUACUGAGUGGCGAACGGGUGAGUAUAAUGUGGGUAUCUGCCUUUUGGUUUGGAAUAACACGAGGAAACUUGUGCUAAUACCGGAUAAGCCCUUACGGGGAAAGUUUUAACGCCGAAAGAUGAGCCCGCACUUGGUUAGCUAGUUGGUAGGGUAAUAGCCUACCAAGGCAACGAUCAAUAGUUGAUCUGAGAGGAUGAUCAGCCACAUUGGGACUGAGACACGGCCCAAACUCCUACGGGAGGCAGCAGUGGGGAAUCUUGCACAAUGGGGGAAACCCUGAUGCAGCGAUGCCGCGUGAGUGAAGAAGGCCUUUGGGUUGUAAAGCUCUUUCGUCGGGGAAGAAAAUGACUGUACCCGAAUAAGAAGGUCCGGCUAACUUCGUGCCAGCAGCCGCGGUAAUACGAAGGGACCUAGCGUAGUUCGGAAUUACUGGGCUUAAAGAGUACGUAGGUGGUUAGAAAAGUUGGUGGUGAAAUCCCAAGGCUUAACCUUGGAACUGCCAUCAAAACUUUUUAACUGGAGUAUGAUA
Molecule: ribosomal RNA, 550 nt
Filed under: uncultured Candidatus Pelagibacter sp.
Lineage: Bacteria; Pseudomonadati; Pseudomonadota; Alphaproteobacteria; Candidatus Pelagibacterales; Candidatus Pelagibacteraceae
Description: bacterial SSU rRNA
Rfam family: Bacterial small subunit ribosomal RNA
Source: RNAcentral